Molecule: ribosomal RNA, 750 nt
Filed under: Jonesia quinghaiensis
Lineage: Bacteria; Bacillati; Actinomycetota; Actinomycetes; Micrococcales; Jonesiaceae
Description: bacterial SSU rRNA
Rfam family: Bacterial small subunit ribosomal RNA
Source: RNAcentral
ACCUGCCCCUCACUUCGGGAUAACCAUUGGAAACGGUGGCUAAUACUGGAUAUGACACAUGGCCGCAUGGUCUGUGUGUGGAAAGAAUUUUGGUGGGGGAUGGGCUCGCGGCCUAUCAGCUUGUUGGUGGGGUGAUGGCCUACCAAGGCUUUGACGGGUAGCCGGCCUGAGAGGGCGACCGGCCACACUGGGACUGAGACACGGCCCAGACUCCUACGGGAGGCAGCAGUGGGGAAUAUUGCACAAUGGGGGAAACCCUGAUGCAGCGACGCCGCGUGGGGGAUGAAGGCCUUCGGGUUGUAAACCCCUUUCAGUAGGGAACAAGGCCAUGAUUAUUGUUGUGGUUGAGGGUACUUGCAGAAGAAGCGCCGGCUAACUACGUGCCAGCAGCCGCGGUAAUACGUAGGGCGCAAGCGUUGUCCGGAAUUAUUGGGCGUAAAGAGCUCGUAGGCGGUUUGUCGCGUCUGCCGUGAAAACCCGAUGCUUAACAUCGGGCUUGCGGUGGGUACGGGCAGGCUAGAGUGCGGUAGGGGUGACUGGAAUUCCUGGUGUAGCGGUGGAAUGCGCAGAUAUCAGGAGGAACACCGAUGGCGAAGGCAGGUCACUGGGCCGUUACUGACGCUGAGGAGCGAAAGCAUGGGGAGCGAACAGGAUUAGAUACCCUGGUAGUCCAUGCCGUAAACGUUGGGCACUAGGUGUUGGGGAUUGUUCCACGAUUCCUGUACCGUAGCUAACGCAUUAAGUGCCCCG